RNAcentral lists this ribosomal RNA (418 nucleotides) under Micrococcus luteus. RNAcentral's name for it is "bacterial SSU rRNA". It matches the Rfam family "Bacterial small subunit ribosomal RNA", at positions 28 to 446 of the family's 1533-position model. The record is from RNAcentral. Lineage: Bacteria; Bacillati; Actinomycetota; Actinomycetes; Micrococcales; Micrococcaceae.
GAUGAACGCUGGCGGCGUGCUUAACACAUGCAAGUCGAACGAUGAAGCCCAGCCUGCUGGGCGGAUUAGUGGCGAACGGGUGAGUAACACGUGAGUAACCUGCCCUUGACUCUGGGAUAAGCCCGGGAAACUGGGUCUAAUACCGGAUAGGAGCGCCUGUCGCAUGACGGGUGCUGGAAAGAUUUUUCGGUCAUGGAUGGACUCGCGGCCUAUCAGCUUGUUGGUGAGGUAACGGCUCACCAAGGCGACGACGGGUAGCCGGCCUGAGAGGGUGACCGGCCACACUGGGACUGAGACACGGCCCAGACUCCUACGGGAGGCAGCAGUGGGGAAUAUUGCACAAUGGGCGGAAGCCUGAUGCAGCGACGCCGCGUGAGGGAUGACGGCCUUCGGGUUGUAAACCUCUUUCAGUAGGGAA